UGGAUUUUGAGCUGCGGGAGCAAAAUCAGGAGAUGGAGAAGGGUUAAGAACUGAAUCUACAUCUGCACGGCUUUUUGCUGGACCAUCUGACUCAGCCAUACAUGAAAAGAUGUGAAGAAGAACAAACCAGUGGGAAUUUGAGCA
Molecule: long non-coding RNA, 144 nt
Organism: Lonchura striata (white-rumped munia)
Lineage: Eukaryota; Metazoa; Chordata; Aves; Passeriformes; Estrildidae
Source: RefSeq, a predicted model, not a curated record